This 483-nucleotide ribosomal RNA is filed under the name uncultured bacterium. RNAcentral's name for it is "partial 16S ribosomal RNA". It matches the Rfam family "Bacterial small subunit ribosomal RNA", at positions 30 to 506 of the family's 1533-position model. The record is from RNAcentral.
AUUGAACGCUGGCGGCAGGCCUAACACAUGCAAGUCGAGCGGAUGAAGGGAGCUUGCUCCUGGAUUCAGCGGCGGACGGGUGAGUAAUGCCUAGGAAUCUGCCUGGUAGUGGGGGAUAACGUCCGGAAACGGGCGCCAAUACCGCAUACGUCCUGAGGGAGAAAGUGGGGGAUCUUCGGACCUCACGCUAUCAGAUGAGCCUAGGUCGGAUUAGCUAGUUGGUGGGGUAAAGGCCUACCAAGGCGACGAUCCGUAACUGGUCUGAGAGGAUGAUCAGUCACACUGGAACUGAGACACGGUCCAGACUCCUACGGGAGGCAGCAGUGGGGAAUAUUGGACAAUGGGCGAAAGCCUGAUCCAGCCAUGCCGCGUGUGUGAAGAAGGUCUUCGGAUUGUAAAGCACUUUAAGUUGGGAGGAAGGGCAGUAAGUUAAUACCUUGCUGUUUGGACGUUACCAACAGAAUAAGCACCGGCUAACUUCGG